UACGGAGGGUCCAAGCGUUAUCCGGAAUUAUUGGGCUUAAAGCGCCCGCAGGCGGGCAGUUAAGUCAGUGGUGAAAGUCUUCCGCUUAACGGGAGAACUGCCAUUGAUACUGAUUGUCUUGAGUUAUUAUGAAGUGGUUAGAAUGAGUAGUGUAGCGGUGAAAUGCAUAGAUAUUACUCAGAAUACCGAUUGCGAAGGCAGAUCACUAAUAAUUUACUGACGCUGAGGGACGAAAGCGUAGGUAGCGAACAGG
Molecule: unclassified non-coding RNA, 253 nt
Filed under: uncultured Flavobacteriaceae bacterium
Lineage: Bacteria; Pseudomonadati; Bacteroidota; Flavobacteriia; Flavobacteriales; Flavobacteriaceae
Description: contains 16S-23S intergenic spacer region
Rfam family: Bacterial small subunit ribosomal RNA
Source: RNAcentral